UUGGACACGACAAGUGACUUU
This 21-nucleotide microRNA is filed under the name Bos taurus (domestic cattle). RNAcentral's name for it is "bta-miR-12022". The record is from miRBase by way of RNAcentral. Lineage: Eukaryota; Metazoa; Chordata; Mammalia; Artiodactyla; Bovidae.